GUCUGUGGCCAUACCACUCUGAUCUCGUCUGAUCUUGGAAGCUAAGUACGGUUGGGCCUGGUUAGUACUUGAAUGGGAGACCACAUGGGAAUACCGGGUGCUGUAAGAA
RNAcentral lists this ribosomal RNA (109 nucleotides) under Papio anubis (olive baboon). The record is from RNAcentral. Lineage: Eukaryota; Metazoa; Chordata; Mammalia; Primates; Cercopithecidae.